This 472-nucleotide ribosomal RNA is filed under the name uncultured bacterium. Its description in RNAcentral is "partial 16S ribosomal RNA". It matches the Rfam family "Bacterial small subunit ribosomal RNA", at positions 28 to 507 of the family's 1533-position model. The record is from RNAcentral.
GACGAACGCUGGCGGCGUGCUUAACACAUGCAAGUCGAACGCUGAAGCUUGGUGCUUGCACUGGGUGGAUGAGUGGCGAACGGGUGAGUAAUAAGUGAGUAACCUGCCCUUGACUCUGGGAUAAGCCUGGGAAACUGGGUCUAAUACUGGAUACGACAUGUCACCGCAUGGUGGUGUGUGGAAAGGGUUUUACUGGUUUUGGAUGGGCUCACGGCCUAUCAGCUUGUUGGUGGGGUAAUGGCUCACCAAGGCGACGACGGGUAGCCGGCCUGAGAGGGUGACCGGCCACACUGGGACUGAGACACGGCCCAGACUCCUACGGGAGGCAGCAGUGGGGAAUAUUGCACAAUGGGCGGAAGCCUGAUGCAGCGACGCCGCGUGAGGGAUGACGGCCUUCGGGUUGUAAACCCCUUUCAGCACGGAAGAAGCGAAAGUGACGGUACGUGCAGAAGAAGCGCCGGCUAACUACGUG